GUGACUGAUACCUUGGAGGCAU
Molecule: microRNA, 22 nt
Filed under: Homo sapiens (human)
Lineage: Eukaryota; Metazoa; Chordata; Mammalia; Primates; Hominidae
Description: hsa-miR-4439
Source: miRBase by way of RNAcentral